UUGUGGUAUACCCGCAAAUCACGGGAGAUC
This 30-nucleotide non-coding RNA is filed under the name Homo sapiens (human). Lineage: Eukaryota; Metazoa; Chordata; Mammalia; Primates; Hominidae. The record is from RNAcentral.